Molecule: ribosomal RNA, 441 nt
Filed under: uncultured bacterium
Lineage: Bacteria
Description: partial 16S ribosomal RNA
Rfam family: Bacterial small subunit ribosomal RNA
Source: RNAcentral
CCUACGGGGGGCUGCAGUGGGGAAUAUUGCACAAUGGGGGAAACCCUGAUGCAGCAACGCCGCGUGGGUGAAGGAGCGUUUCGGCGCGUAAAGCCCUGUCAGCGGGGAAGAAGAAAGACGGUACCCGACCAAGAAGCCCCGGCUAACUACGUGCCAGCAGCCGCGGUAAUACGUAGGGGGCGAGCGUUAUCCGGAUUUACUGGGUGUAAAGGGAGCGUAGACGGUUAUGUAAGUCUGGAGUGAAAGCCCGGGGCCCAACCCCGGGACUGCUUUGGAAACUGUGUAACUGGAGUACAGGAGGGGCAGGCGGAAUGCCUGGUGUAGCGGUGAAAUGGGUAGAUAUCAGGAGGAGCACCGGCGGCGAAGGCGGCCUGCUGGACUGAAACUGACGUUGAGGCUCGAAAGCGUGGGGAGCAAACAGGAUUAGAUACCCUGGUAGUC